UUUUCAGUAUAAGUAUAUCCCAUGCAAUAUUUGGGACAUACUUAUGCUGAAA
Camelus ferus (Wild Bactrian camel) is the source of this 52-nucleotide microRNA precursor. It matches the Rfam family "mir-1302 microRNA precursor family". Lineage: Eukaryota; Metazoa; Chordata; Mammalia; Artiodactyla; Camelidae. The record is from Rfam.